RNAcentral lists this ribosomal RNA (1092 nucleotides) under Clostridioides difficile. RNAcentral describes it as "bacterial LSU rRNA". It matches the Rfam family "Bacterial large subunit ribosomal RNA", at positions 1189 to 2297 of the family's 2925-position model. Lineage: Bacteria; Bacillati; Bacillota; Clostridia; Peptostreptococcales; Peptostreptococcaceae. The record is from RNAcentral.
UACUACCGAAGCUACGGCAUCAGUAAUGAUGGGUAGGGGAGCUUCCCAUACGGGUUGAAGCAUGACCGUAAGGACAUGUGGACAGUAUGGGAGUGAGAAUGUUGGCAUGAGUAGCGAGAUGUGGGUGGGAAUCCCACAGGCCGUAAACCCAAGGUUUCCAGGGGAAGGUUCGUCCGCCCUGGGUUAGUCGGGACCUAAGCUGAGGCCGAAAGGCGUAGGUGAUGGACAACAGGUUGAUAUUCCUGUACUACCGAUAACCGUUUGAGAGAAGGGAUGACACAGUAGGAUAAGCUAAGCACACUGUUGGUUAUGUGUGCCCAAGCAUUGAGGCAGUCAAAGUAGGCAAAUCCACUUUGAUAAUGCUGGGAUGUGAUGGGGAGCGAAAUUUAGUAGCGAAGUAGCUGAUUUCACACUGUCAAGAAAAGUCUCUAUCGAGGUUAAAGGUACCCGUACCGCAAACCGACACAGGUGGGUGAGGAGAGUAUCCUAAGGCCAGCGAGAGAACUGUUGUUAAGGAACUCGGCAAAAUGACCCCGUAACUUAGGGAUAAGGGGUGCCACCAUCAGGUGGCCGCAGAGAAUAGGCCCAAGCGACUGUUUACCAAAAACAUAGGUUUCUGCUAAGUCGCAAGACGAUGUAUAGGAGCUGACGCCUGCCCGGUGCUGGAAGGUUAAGGGGAUCUGUUAGAGCAAUCGAAGCAGUGAACUUAAGCCCCAGUAAACGGCGGCCGUAACUAUAACGGUCCUAAGGUAGCGAAAUUCCUUGUCGGGUAAGUUCCGACCCGCACGAAAGGCGUAACGAUUUGGGCACUGUCUCAACAACAGACUCGGUGAAAUUGUAAUUCCGGUGAAGAUGCCGGAUACCUGCGACAGGACGGAAAGACCCCAUGGAGCUUUACUGUAGCUUGACAUUGGGUCUUGGUACUACAUGUACAGGAUAGGUGGGAGGCUUUGAAACCAGGACGCCAGUUUUGGCGGAGCCAUCCUUGGGAUACCACCCUUGUAGUACUGGGACUCUAACCAUAGGCCAUGAAUCUGGUCUUGGGACACUGUCAGGUGGGCAGUUUGACUGGGGCGGUCGCCUCCCAAAAGG